RNAcentral lists this ribosomal RNA (795 nucleotides) under uncultured bacterium. RNAcentral's name for it is "bacterial SSU rRNA". It matches the Rfam family "Bacterial small subunit ribosomal RNA", at positions 8 to 796 of the family's 1533-position model. The record is from RNAcentral.
AGAGUUUGAUCAUGGCUCAGAUUGAACGCUGGCGGCGUGCUUAACACAUGCAAGUCGAGCGGUAACAGGUGUAGCAAUACAUGCUGACGAGCGGCGAACGGGUGAGUAAUGCUUCGGAAUCUUCCUCGUAGUGGGGAAUAACCUGGGGAAACUCAGGCUAAUACCGCAUACGAACUACGGUUGAAAGCAGGGGAUCGCAAGACCUUGCGCUAUGAGAUGAGCCGAAGUCGGAUUAGCUAGUUGGUGAGGUAACGGCUCACCAAGGCGACGAUCCGUAGCUGGUCUGAGAGGACGACCAGCCACACUGGGACUGAGACACGGCCCAGACUCCUACGGGAGGCAGCAGUGGGGAAUAUUGGACAAUGGGCGAAAGCCUGAUCCAGCGACGCCGCGUGUGUGAAGAAGGCCUGCGGGUUGUAAAGCACUUUUAGUGGGGAUGAAAAGCCGAAGGCUAAUACCUUUCGGUCUUGACCUAACCCAAAGAAAAAGCACCGGCUAACUCUGUGCCAGCAGCCGCGGUAAUACAGAGGGUGCAAGCGUUAAUCGGAAUUACUGGGCGUAAAGCGUGCGUAGUCGGUUAUUCAAGUCGGGUGUGAAAGCCCCGGGCUCAACCUGGGAAUUGCAUUCGAUACUGGCAGACUUGAGUACUGGAGGGGGUGGUGGAAUUCCCGGUGUAGAGGUGAAAUUCGUAGAUAUCGGGAGGAAUACCGGUGGCGAAGGCGACCACCUGGCCAGAUACUGACGCUGAGGUGCGAAAGCGUGGGGAGCAAACAGGAUUAGAUACCCUAGUAGUCC